AUUGAACGCUGGCGGCAUGCCUUACACAUGCAAGUCGAACGGUAACAGGGAGCUUGCUCCGCUGACGAGUGGCGAACGGGUGAGUAAUGUAUCGGAACGUACCAUUCAGUGGGGGAUAACGUAGCGAAAGUUACGCUAAUACCGCAUAUUCUGUGAGCAGGAAAGCAGGGGAUCGCAAGACCUUGCGCUGAUUGAGCGGCCGAUAUCAGAUUAGCUAGUUGGUGAGGUAAAGGCUCACCAAGGCGACGAUCUGUAGCGGGUCUGAGAGGAUGAUCCGCCACACUGGAACUGAGACACGGUCCAGACUCCUACGGGAGGCAGCAGUGGGGAAUUUUGGACAAUGGGGGCAACCCUGAUCCAGCCAUGCCGCGUGAGUGAAGAAGGCCUCGGUUGUAAGACUCUUUCGGUCCGGGAAAACGUACGACAUCAGUUAAUAACCUCGGUGUGGAGUGAUGGUACCGGAAGUAAGAAGACACCGGCUAACUACGUGCC
RNAcentral lists this ribosomal RNA (492 nucleotides) under uncultured bacterium. RNAcentral describes it as "bacterial SSU rRNA". It matches the Rfam family "Bacterial small subunit ribosomal RNA", at positions 30 to 509 of the family's 1533-position model. The record is from RNAcentral.